GCCAUCAGAAAGAGAAGAAGGCGUUUAUUGUCGAAACUCGGAUCCAAGAGAGCUUCUCAGACAUUGGCUAAGUUCAAAGCAUCAUGAAAAUUUGAAGAUGAAAUCAUCGAAGGAUCGACGAUUGCCUACAAAGUCAGGUUCAGGGACUACAAGGCUGCAAUUUUUUAUCUUCACCCUGAGUUGGACUUGAGAGAGCUACAGUCGAAUGAAGGCAACA
This 217-nucleotide long non-coding RNA is filed under the name Elaeis guineensis (African oil palm). Its description in RNAcentral is "long non-coding RNA (EGUI_LNC026504)". Lineage: Eukaryota; Viridiplantae; Streptophyta; Magnoliopsida; Arecales; Arecaceae. The record is from RNAcentral.